GAUGAACGCUGGCGGCGUGCCUAAUACAUGCAAGUCGAGCGAACAGACGAGGUGCUUUCUCCUUUGACGUUAGCGGCGGACGGGUGAGUAACACGUAGUUAACCUACCUAUAAGACUGGGAUAACUUCGGGAAACCGGAGCUAAUGCCGGAUAAUAUUUCGAACCGCAUGGUUCGAUAGUGAAAGUAGGCUUUGCUAUGACUUAUAGAUUGCCCAGGCUCGUAUUCGUUAGUUGUUAGGGAAGCUGCUUACCCAGGCAACGAUACGUAGCCGACCUGAAAGGGUCAUCGGCUACACUGGAACUGAGACUCGGCACACACUCCUACGGUGGGACGCAGUAGGGAAUCUUACGCAAUGGGGGAAAGCCUGAUGGAGCAAAGUCGCGUGAGUGAUGAAGGACUUCGGCUCGGAAAACUAUGUUAUUAGGGAAGUACAAACGUGUAAGUACCCGUGAACGUCUUGACGGUACCGAAUCAGAAAGCCACGGCUAACUACGUG
RNAcentral lists this ribosomal RNA (497 nucleotides) under uncultured bacterium. RNAcentral's name for it is "partial 16S ribosomal RNA". It matches the Rfam family "Bacterial small subunit ribosomal RNA", at positions 28 to 507 of the family's 1533-position model. The record is from RNAcentral.